This 253-nucleotide ribosomal RNA is filed under the name uncultured bacterium. RNAcentral's name for it is "partial 16S ribosomal RNA". It matches the Rfam family "Bacterial small subunit ribosomal RNA", at positions 524 to 776 of the family's 1533-position model. The record is from RNAcentral.
CACGUAGGGCGCAAGCGUUGUCCGGAAUUAUUGGGCGUAAAGAGCUCGUAGGCGGUCUGUUGCGUCCGCUGUGAAAACUCGGGGCUUAACCCCGAGCCUGCAGUGGAUACGGGCAGACUAGAGGUAGGUAGGGGAGAAUGGAAUUCCCGGUGUAGCGGUGAAAUGCGCAGAUAUCAGGAGGAACACCGGUGGCGAAGGCAGGUCUCUGGGCAUUAACUGACGCUGAGGAGCGAAAGCAUGGGGAGCGAACAGG